GACAGAGGUGCCGAGCGUUAGGCGGAAUCACUGGGCUUAAAGCGUGUGUAGGUGGAUGCCUAAGUACCUUGUGAAAUCCCACGGCUUAACCGUGGAACUGCUUGGUAUACUGGGUGUCUUGAGCCAGCUAGGGGCUACCGGAACAAAUGGUGGAGCGGUGAAAUGCGUAGAUAUCAUUUGGAACGCCAAUGGUGAAAACAGGUAGCUGGGGCUGUGCUGACACUGAGACACGAAAGCCAGGGGGGCGAACGGG
Molecule: ribosomal RNA, 253 nt
Filed under: uncultured bacterium
Lineage: Bacteria
Description: partial 16S ribosomal RNA
Rfam family: Bacterial small subunit ribosomal RNA
Source: RNAcentral